Oryzias latipes (Japanese medaka) is the source of this 783-nucleotide long non-coding RNA. RefSeq lists it as uncharacterized. The record is from RefSeq and is a predicted model, not a curated record. NCBI's taxonomy places the organism in Eukaryota, Metazoa, Chordata, Actinopteri, Beloniformes, Adrianichthyidae.
GAGUAUUUUCAUAUUGGGACCGACCCAGCGCCAUCUUGUCACAUUUGCGACGUACAUCUGAUGAUCCAGAACAUGACGAGGACGAACAGGAAAAACAAUUAGGAAUAUAAUAUUCGGCGGACAAGAUAAAAGGAGUUUCAGGCCAAACAAGCUUACAUUGAUUGUGGAGCCAUAAGAGGAGAUACCAGAGCUUCAUCCAUCGUGGAUGUUUAUCCAGAGAACUGCAUCAUUGGAAGCCAACUUUGCUCUGGUGAAGGCCCUUCCCAUUCUCUUUCCCCCAGUGGCACCUCCAUCAAAGAAACUGGGGUGUGCUAGUGAAGCUUUACUGCAUGUUCAGGAGUCAACAGAAGAUCCAAACGUCUUCAUCCAGAAGAGAGGCCUGUCAAGUCCAGUCUUGGUGUUUGAUGGCAGCAGAUGAAUCGUUGCUAUUGGUUUGAUGCCAGUGACGUUUGAAAAAGAAAAGCUUCACGAGGGUCUGAUUUUCUAAAUGGCAUAUUAUUACACACUACAUCUGACCUACACAAAUUGCGUGGCCACCCUUCUGUCAUUCAGACAGAGAUCCUUCAGGAUACAAUUCACAAGUGGGACAUCACCACCACAUGAAAGAGCAUUAAAGUAAAGAAUUUGUUGGAAGAUAAACUGCUUUUGCAGGUCAAUGUUUAUGUCUGUUUAGAUGAGUAUUCUAAUUGUGUUGUUAAAGAAAUAUUGUAUUCCUAGUGCCUUUGGGUAAAUUUGUAUCACAAAUCUCAGUUUGUAAGUUGAAUAAAAGAAUCGAAAAGUGAA